UACAGAGGUGGCAAGCGUUGUCCGGAAUUAUUGGGCGUAAAGAGCUCGUAGGCGGUGUGUCGCGUCGGUCGUGAAAACUUGGGGCUUAACCCUGAGCUUGCGGUCGAUACGGGCAUCACUGGAGUUCGGCAGGGGAGACUGGAAUUCCUGGUGUAGCGGUGAAAUGCGCAGAUAUCAGGAGGAACACCGGUGGCGAAGGCGGGUCUCUGGGCCGAUACUGACGCUGAGGAGCGAAAGCGUGGGGAGCGAACAGG
RNAcentral lists this ribosomal RNA (254 nucleotides) under uncultured bacterium. RNAcentral's name for it is "partial 16S ribosomal RNA". It matches the Rfam family "Bacterial small subunit ribosomal RNA", at positions 524 to 776 of the family's 1533-position model. The record is from RNAcentral.